RNAcentral lists this transfer RNA (63 nucleotides) under Macridiscus melanaegis. RNAcentral describes it as "tRNA-Val". Lineage: Eukaryota; Metazoa; Mollusca; Bivalvia; Venerida; Veneridae. The record is from RNAcentral.
CAAGAAAUAGCAUAAAAAGUGUGCUUUGUUUACACCAAAGAGGUGGGUUAUAUCCUUUCUUGU